GUUCCCGAGGGUGAUGGACGACCCACGUAAGGGCCCCAUCAGAGGUCCAUGGCGGCGGCGACGGGGGCGCGGGCGCGUCACGCUAAUGCGGGCGGGUGGAACCAGCAGAGAUGUAGGAGAUGGAGCAGUCCACCGCGAUGGAGGUCGACCAAGGUAAGCCCUCUUGAGUUCCUGAACUUGGUCGGGGAUUUGGUGGCGGACCGGCGGCAGGUUUACACACUACAGGAAGCAAAGGCUUCGGUUUCUGAUUAGUGCGUGCACAAGGGAUGGAUGGAGUCCUGGAUGGAUAGGGUGCCACACGAUAGGGUUCUGUGGUUCAGAUUUUUUAAAAGUUUUUAUUUUGCAAAAACAAAACCUAAAAAAAAAACUUUAACAUAAAGGUCCAGAUUUAUUGAAACCAGUAAAUCUAAUAUGUCUCAUCGGUACGGAGAAAUUAAUAACAGCAAAUCGAAACAAAUCGGCAAUUUUUCAAAAUAAAAAAAAAAUCUGUAAGAACAUAACAUAGAGGUUUAUUACGUAGUACUUCCUUCCUCCCAUAUCAAGUGUCGAAAUAUUACAUGUAUGUAGACAUAUUUUAGUAUAUAUAUAUACUUAUUUUUAGACAAAUUUGAGUCAAAUAUGGAACGGAGGGAGUACUAUAAACCAAAUCCCAUCGAAGUAACGGCGCUAUGGAGAUAACAUAAAGGUUUGUUACGUGGUAUAGACCAAAUCUCAUCGGUUUGUACGUGCAAACAAAAAACUCCGCAUAAUAAGAAGUUAACGUCGCUACAAAGAAAAAAUUAUAAGAAGUUAAUGUCGGUACGGAGAUAUGGAAAUUGAUUUCGGAUAGGUACCAAGUAGAAAAAAAAUCAGAAAUACAAACAAAUUUGAUGUGAUCGGCAUGGAGCAAUCUACAUCUGCCGACGGGUAGCAGCACCCUCGCAUGAAAACGCCAGCUGAAAUCUAAUCUACCAUAGGCACAACAAUUCCACAACCACGACCGCAAUCGAAUACCUAAAGUCAAACAAACUCUCUCCGCUCGCCGUCAAAAGCAGCAAAAACACCAGAAAAAACACAAUGGAAUAAAGGAGAUUUCGUGUGGAACAUCAGCUAAAAGAGAAUCUGAAAAAUUAUACAGACACAGAUUGGGCUGGAUAAAAAAAUGCUUAUUGCAUCAUCAAUAUCGAAAUAAUAAUUUAUAUGAUUAAAAAGUCUAUAUGUGAUGUUUAAAAGAGCACUUUUUAAAUGAUAAAAAGAAUUGCCAUGCAAAUAAUGCAGACACUGGUAAUAAAAUACGACUCUCAUAGUAAAACAUGUAAUGACUACCUAAUUUAUAAUAUAAUCGAUGUGAUAUGAACUUAAACCAAUCUAAUCACCCAGACCAUCCAGUCUUAUCAUUCAGAAAAUUAAUAUCACCAAAAAGUAAAUAUAAAAAACAAAUAUUCCAGACUCAUUAAACAAGUCUAAAAUGCAUGCAAAUAUAAUACACUUAAACUUCAUGCAAAAUUAAUUUAUUAAAAAUACUUAUAAAAUUAUUUCAUUAUACAAGUCUAGCCGCGCAAUAUGCGAGGGUCACCCUGCUAGUUUUUUUUCCCUAUUGCAAGUACUCUACUUUUUUUUUCGAGGGAGUUUACAGGGCUCCACUUUUUUUUUGAGAGAGUAGUGAUUUUUUCGACAAGAAAUUAAUAAUAAUGAUUUAAUAGUAGCACAAGGUUUCCGUAUUUUUCAUUUGAUCGAUCGAUCGUACGCCCGGUUUGCCUAUCAAACUACCACCAGCAAAUCGCGCCGAUCUUACGGCCCCGAGCAGCUUAACUCUAGGAACGUCUCCCCGUAGAAACGUAUUGGAUCCGUUAGAGCUGAAGCAAAAGCAAAAACCGCCGUGAGUCACUGUACCCAAACAGAACACCCUGCACCGAUCGAAGCACCGUACCGUGCACAUCGCCAGCCGGUGCCAGGAACCCAGGGCAGGAGUCAGGAGUGCAUGUUUUGGCUUGGCACGCCCGCCGGUCUGCAGGUCACGUCUUGCACGCUUUGUGUUUCUGACCCUGAGAGCCCCGGCCCCCAGAUGAUAGCCGGUUCCAUGUUCCUCCUCCGCGCCGGCCGGUCGAGAAGGCCUCCAAAAAAAGAACCAAACCAAACAUGCCAAUCAAAUUGCAAAAAUUAGAUAGGACAUGCAAGGCAGAAGCCGUCGAAUUUCCAAGGUCAUCCAGAUCACACGGGUGAGGUGGCUGUACGUCCUGGGUAGCUAGCUGUCCGACGUGUCGAGCGUAAUGGCGACGCGAUGUGCUCUGCCGUGCAGAUUCAGCCGCUGCCCCGUUGCAUUCGACCGGAAACACACACUGUCUGGAGUGUGGAUCGACGUUGGAGUCGUGGGCUAACACAACGGGACCAUUCUUGUUAGUAGCAGUAGCAGCACUGCUUGAUUGAAUCAUUUGAAUGUGGUCUCGGGAGUGGGUGUUAUUGAAUGGCCGAUCCCCGCAGAUCCCAGCCCCACCGGCCCCGGGCGGGCCAACAACGGGGCGGCAGUAGUAGUUCGUUCGUUGUACCGGCCCAUGCACAACACAUGCCACCCCCUGCUCUGUUCAUCCGUCGUCAACAUGCUGUCCUGCUCUUCAAUUCGAUCGCGUCAGAUAUAUAUAUUCCGCCAACGCCAAGGUGAUGUCGAUGCUAACCGCUCGCUGCUCAUCUCAUCAGUUUUUGAAUCUCGAAAAGCUCUUGUUGAUUUGGGCCCGUUUGGAACCCAGGGAUUUCCCCGGUUCCAAAUUUCGUGGAAUUCCUGGCGGGAUUAAGAGUUGGAAGGAACCACAGCAAAUUUACAGAAUUCUUGGCCAGAAAACAGAUUCAGCUCCCCGGAGGUACACUAUACAAGGAACGGAGGAGAAAGCGGACAUGACUACGUGAGGGGCUAACAACUACUGUACAAGGCUGAAGUGAGCCAUGUCAAGAUCUAGAGGCACCAAAACUGCCAUGAAAUGGACCAUGGCAUGGCAACAGCAUGGACUGACUAAUC
This is a long non-coding RNA of Brachypodium distachyon (stiff brome), 2989 nucleotides long. RefSeq lists it as uncharacterized. Lineage: Eukaryota; Viridiplantae; Streptophyta; Magnoliopsida; Poales; Poaceae. The record is from RefSeq and is a predicted model, not a curated record. The transcript has 2 exons.